RNAcentral lists this ribosomal RNA (253 nucleotides) under uncultured bacterium. RNAcentral's name for it is "partial 16S ribosomal RNA". It matches the Rfam family "Bacterial small subunit ribosomal RNA", at positions 524 to 776 of the family's 1533-position model. The record is from RNAcentral.
UACGAAGGUCCCAAGCGUUAUCCGGAUUUAUUGGGUUUAAAGGGUGCGUAGGCGGGUUAUUAAGUCAGUGGUGAAAGCUCCCAGCUCAACUGGGAAACUGCCAUUGAUACUGAUAGUCUUGAGUAUGAUUGAAGUGGGCGGAAUGUGUCAUGUAGCGGUGAAAUGCCUAGAUAUGACACAGAACACCGAUUGCGAAGGCAGCUCACUAAGCCAUAACUGACGCUGAUGCACGAAAGCGUGGGGAGCAAACAGG